UACGUAGGGUGCAAGCGUUGUCCGGAAUUAUUGGGCGUAAAGAGCUCGUAGGCGGUCUGUCGCGUCGGCUGUGAAAACCUGGGGCUUAACUCCGGGCCUGCAGCCGAUACGGGCAGACUAGAGUUCGGCAGGGGAGACUGGAAUUCCUGGUGUAGCGGUGAAAUGCGCAGAUAUCAGGAGGAACACCGGUGGCGAAGGCGGGUCUCUGGGCCGAUACUGACGCUGAGGAGCGAAAGCGUGGGGAGCGAACAGG
This 253-nucleotide ribosomal RNA is filed under the name uncultured bacterium. Its description in RNAcentral is "partial 16S ribosomal RNA". It matches the Rfam family "Bacterial small subunit ribosomal RNA", at positions 524 to 776 of the family's 1533-position model. The record is from RNAcentral.